RNAcentral lists this ribosomal RNA (498 nucleotides) under uncultured bacterium. Its description in RNAcentral is "partial 16S ribosomal RNA". It matches the Rfam family "Bacterial small subunit ribosomal RNA", at positions 28 to 507 of the family's 1533-position model. The record is from RNAcentral.
GACGAACGCUGGCGGCGUGCCUAAUACAUGCAAGUCGAGCGGACGGAUGGGAGCUUGCUCCCAGACCGUCAGCGGCGGACGGGUGAGUAACACGUGGGCAACCUGCCUGUAAGACUGGGAUAACUCCGGGAAACCGGGGCUAAUACCGGAUAACUCUUUCCCUCACAUGAGGGAAAGCUGAAAGAUGGCAUCUCGCUAUCACUUACAGAUGUGCCCGCGGCGCAUUAGCUAGUUGGUGAGGUAACGGCUCACCAAGGCGACGAUGCGUAGACGACCUGAGGGGGUGAUCGGCCACACUGGGACUGAGACACGGCCCAGACUCCUACGGGAGGCAGCAGUAGGGAAUCUUCCGCAAUGGACGAAAGUCUGACAGAGCAACGCCGCGUGAGUGAUGAAGGUUUUCGGAUCGUAAAACUCUGUUGUCAGGGAAGAACAAGUACCGGAGUAACUGCCGGUACCUUGACGGUACCUGACCAGAAAGCCACGGCUAACUACGUG